RNAcentral lists this ribosomal RNA (548 nucleotides) under uncultured bacterium. Its description in RNAcentral is "bacterial SSU rRNA". It matches the Rfam family "Bacterial small subunit ribosomal RNA", at positions 358 to 916 of the family's 1533-position model. The record is from RNAcentral.
GGAAUAUUGCACAAUGGGCGCAAGCCUGAUGCAGCAACGCCGCGUGAGGGAUGAAGGCCUUCGGGUUGUAAACCUCUUUUAGUAGGGAAGAAGCGAAAGUGACGGUACCUACAGAAAAAGCACCGGCUAACUACGUGCCAGCAGCCGCGGUAAUACGUAGGGUGCAAGCGUUGUCCGGAAUUAUUGGGCGUAAAGAGCUCGUAGGCGGUUUGUCGCGUCUGCUGUGAAAAUCCGAAGCUCAACUUCGGACCUGCAGUGGGUACGGGCAGACUAGAGUGCGGUAGGGGAGAAGGGAAUUCCUGGUGUAGCGGUGGAAUGCGCAGAUAUCAGGAGGAACACCGAUGGCGAAGGCACUUCUCUGGGCCGUAACUGACGCUGAGGAGCGAAAGCGUGGGGAGCGAACAGGAUUAGAUACCCUGGUAGUCCACGCCGUAAACGGUGGGUGCUAGUUGUGGGUCACAUUCCACGUGAUCUGCGACGCAGCUAACGCAUUAAGCACCCCGCCUGGGGAGUACGGUCGCAAGACUAAAACUCAAAUGAAUUGACGG